CGGACGGGUGAGUAACACGUGGAUAACCUACCUAUAAGACUGGGAUAACUUCGGGAAACCGGAGCUAAUACCGGAUAAUAUAUUGAACCGCAUGGUUCAAUAGUGAAAGACGGUUUUGCUGUCACUUAUAGAUGGAUCCGCGCCGCAUUAGCUAGUUGGUAAGGUAACGGCUUACCAAGGCAACGAUGCGUAGCCGACCUGAGAGGGUGAUCGGCCACACUGGAACUGAGACACGGUCCAGACUCCUACGGGAGGCAGCAGGA
RNAcentral lists this ribosomal RNA (263 nucleotides) under uncultured Staphylococcus sp. RNAcentral describes it as "partial 16S ribosomal RNA". It matches the Rfam family "Bacterial small subunit ribosomal RNA", at positions 99 to 354 of the family's 1533-position model. The record is from RNAcentral. Lineage: Bacteria; Bacillati; Bacillota; Bacilli; Caryophanales; Staphylococcaceae.